AUUGAACGCUGGCGGAAUGCUUUACACAUGCAAGUCGAACGGCAGCACGGGGGCAGCCCUGGUGGCGAGUGGCGAACGGGUGAGUAAUACAUCGGAACGUGCCCGGUCGUGGGGGAUAACGUAGCGAAAGUUACGCUAAUACCGCAUACGAUCUGAGGAUGAAAGCGGGGGACCUUCGGGCCUCGCGCGAUCGGAGCGGCCGAUGUCAGAUUAGGUAGUUGGUGGGGUAAAGGCCUACCAAGCCGACGAUCUGUAGCUGGUCUGAGAGGACGACCAGCCAAACUGGGACUGAGACACGGCCCAGACUCCUAAGGGAGGCAGCAGUGGGGAAUUUUGGACAAUGGGCGCAAGCCUGAUCCAGCCAUUCCGCGUGCAGGACGAAGGCCUUCGGGUUGUAAACUGCUUUUGUACGGAACGAAAAGGCUCUGGCUAAUACCUGGGGCUCAUGACGGUACCGUAAGAAUAAGCACCGGCUAACUACGUG
Molecule: ribosomal RNA, 484 nt
Filed under: uncultured bacterium
Lineage: Bacteria
Description: partial 16S ribosomal RNA
Rfam family: Bacterial small subunit ribosomal RNA
Source: RNAcentral